AGUUGAGUUGAGUUUAUAUAAAAGACAUCUCAUGGUGAAACUUUCAAAUGACAUUCUGAAUGUAUACUGUAAUUUGACUUUAACAUGGCGUUACUAAGUUGUUUUCUAAAUGAUGCCGAAUGUUGUUCUUCUAAUCUUUAAUUCUUGGUUUGCUGGACCAUUAAAACUGUUGUUGUCUAUUUUGUUCAGAUACUAUCAGUCUCUUCCACCUA
This 212-nucleotide unclassified non-coding RNA is filed under the name Hevea brasiliensis (rubber tree). The record is from RNAcentral. Lineage: Eukaryota; Viridiplantae; Streptophyta; Magnoliopsida; Malpighiales; Euphorbiaceae.